CACUCUAGUCCAAGCAACAGAGUGAGACUCUGUCUCCAAAAAACAAAAAUUAGUGGAGCCUAUUUCUAUACACUUUCAUAUGGGAGCCUCAUAUGGGUGUAAUAUCAAAUGAGACAGACAGUUUAACAGAGAGAUAAGAGGAAGAGAUAGUCAAAAAGAUACCCCACUAAAAACACGAUCUUCCCAGGGUGAAUAUGCACAUUCUAAUGUGCAUUUGUAAUUAUAUACAGCACCUAUAUUUAUUUCUUUAUAAAUAUAUACAAAUCUAUCUGAGGAGUGUCAUUAGAGGCUCCACAUUACAGGGGACACAGACUUCACUAAAACAGAGUGUGAGGUUACAAAACAAAUAAAUAAGCAACAACAAAAACAAGCUCAGAAAACCAGGAGAAGCAUCAAUAUUCAGAGUUACUUUUCCCCUAAGAACAGAAAUAAGACAAGGAGGUCUGCUCUUGUCACUUCCAUUCAAUCUGUACAGGAGGUUCUAUCCAGGGCAUUUAAGCAAGAAAAAGAAAUAAAAGGCAUCUAAAUUGGAAAGGGAGAAGUAAAACUGUCCUCUUCACAGAUAACAUGAUCUUGUUUAGAGAAAAUCCCAAAAAAUCCACCAAAAGAACUAUUAGAACUAAUUGAAUUCAGCAAGAUUACAGGAUAAAAGACCAGUAUACAGGACGGAUUUGAAAACCCCGGAGCGAGGUUCUGCCUACCCGGGGCCGCUGCUGUGCGGAGACCCCCGGCGAAGCCACCGUCGCCAUGUCUGACCAGGAGGCAAAACCUUCAACCGAGGACUUGGGGGAUAAGAAGGAAGGAGAAUACAUUAAACUUAAAGUCAUUGGACAGGAUAGCAGUGAGAUUCACUUCAAAGUGAAAAUGACAACACAUCUCAAGAAACUCAAAGAAUCAUACUGUCAAAGACAGGGAGUUCCAAUGAAUUCACUCAGGUUUCUCUUUGAAGGUCAGAGAAUUGCUGAUAAUCAUACUCCAAAAGAACUGGGAAUGGAGGAAGAAGAUGUGAUUGAAGUUUAUCAGGAACAAACGGGGGUUCAUUCAACAGUUUAGAUAUUCUUUUAAUUUUUUUCUUUUCCCUCAAUCCUUUUUUAUUUUUAAAAAUAGUUCUUUUGUAAUGUGGUGUUCAAAAUGGAAUUGAAAACUGGCACCCCAUCUCUUUAAAACAUCUGGUAAUUUGAAUUCUAGUGCUCAUUAUUCAUUAUCGUUUGUUUUGAUUGUGCUGAUUUUUGGUGAUCAAGCCUCAGUCCCCUUCAUAUUGCCCACUCCUUUUUUAAAAAUUACAUGUGUGCACAGAGAGGCCACUGUUUUCAAGACUGUGCAUUUUCAGGCUUGUGAUAAAUAAGAUCGACCAAUGCAGGUGUUCAUAAUGACUUUACAAUUGGCCCUGAAGUUCUAGCAUGUGAUUGCUUCACUCCUGGACUGUGACUUUCAGUGGGAGAUGGAAGUUUUUCAGAGAACUGAACUGUGGAAAAAUGACCUUUCCUUAACAUGAAGCUACUUUUCAAAUUUGAGGGUCUGGACCAAAAGAAGAGGAAUAUCCAGUUGGAGUCAAGCUGACAGAAAAGGUGAGAGUAAUGAAUAACUCCAAAGAUGGCUUCACUGAAGAGAAGGCAUUUUAAAGAUUUUUAAAAAAUCUUGGGAGAAGAUCCCAGAAAAAGUUCUAAUUUUCAUUAGCAAUUAAUAAAGUUAUUCAUGCAGAAGUGUAUACAAUAGAACACUGCUCUUUUUGAUUUUAUUUGUACUUUUUGGCCUGGGAAUAUGGGUUUUGAAUGGACACUGUCUGUACCAGCUUCAUUAAAAUAAACAAUAUUUGUAAAAAUAAAAAAAAAAUAAAAAAAAAA
Microcebus murinus (gray mouse lemur) is the source of this 1844-nucleotide non-coding RNA. The record is from RefSeq and is a predicted model, not a curated record. NCBI's taxonomy places the organism in Eukaryota, Metazoa, Chordata, Mammalia, Primates, Cheirogaleidae.